Molecule: ribosomal RNA, 512 nt
Filed under: uncultured bacterium
Lineage: Bacteria
Description: bacterial SSU rRNA
Rfam family: Bacterial small subunit ribosomal RNA
Source: RNAcentral
UCUGGCUCAGGAUGAACGCUAGCGACAGGCUAACACAUGCAAGUCGAGGGGCAGCACGGGAGUAGCAAUACAACUGGUGGCGACCGGCGCACGGGUGAGUAACGCGUAUGCAACCUACCUAUCAGAGGGGAAUAACCCGGCGAAAGUCGGACUAAUACCGCAUAAAACAGGGGCACCGCAUGGUGAUAUUUGUUAAAGAGAUUCGCUGAUAGAUGGGCAUGCGUUCCAUUAGGUAGUUGGUGAGGUAACGGCUCAUCAAGCCGACGAUGGAUAGGGGAACUGAGAGGUUGGUCCCCCACACUGGUACUGAGACACGGACCAGACUCCUACGGGAGGCAGCAGUGAGGAAUAUUGGUCAAUGGGCGGGAGCCUGAACCAGCCAAGUCGCGUGGAAAAGGAAGAAGGAUCUAUGGUUCGUAAACUUCUUUUGCGAGGGGAAUAAAGUGCAGGACGUGUCCUGUUUUGUAUGUACCCUGAGAAUAAGGAUCGGCUAACUCCGUGCCAGCAGCAGC